RNAcentral lists this long non-coding RNA (895 nucleotides) under Salmo salar (Atlantic salmon). Its description in RNAcentral is "lncRNA (ENSSSAG00000085401.1)". Lineage: Eukaryota; Metazoa; Chordata; Actinopteri; Salmoniformes; Salmonidae. The record is from RNAcentral.
CACAACUCCCCCAUAUGGUGGCUGUCCAGCACCAAAACCAAUAUUCUAAGUAUGUCCCUCCAGCCCCCUUACCCCACCAGAAUAGGCCUUCUCCUCCCUCUGGACCUCAACACCAUCACCCUAGUUCACCCAGCCACUAUUCAUACAUGUACCACUACAAACACUCUCAGCCUGGUAGUCCCAGUAAGCCUACCACUGGCUCUCAUCCUCCGCUCUACCAGCAAUAGUGUCCCUGACCCCAAUUUACAGCACAAUCAGAAGUAUGUAGCACCUCCAGCUCCUUCUAACGCUCCAAACAUCCAGCAUCACUACCCUCCAUACCAAUUCCACCAAAAACAGCCAAAUCCUAGGUUCCAUACCCCAGCUCCUACCCACCUCUUGAAAAUAACCCUUUCUCUCUGUAUGGUUUUCGGCACCCUGAACCUGAUGGACCACCCGCUCCACCCCAAAUUUCUACAGCUCCAUACUUACCAUACCCGCAUGCCAAGAGAGAGGCCCACCGGCACCUCAGUCCACUGAUUGAAAUGUGAGAUGACAACCCAACCAUGCCUGGGAAGAAGGGCAGGCAAGAGACAGGUCAAGGCAGGCAGGGGGCAGAAAACCAGAGGGGUCAACAGUACCGGACAGCAGGCAGGCUCAGGGUGAUCCAGAGGGAGGCAAAGGUUUUGAAGGCCACGGUUUUCAAGGGAAGGUCUAUGGUCCAUCAGCUGAGCACAACCCCCACUCCAGUGAAUGGCUGUCGAUGAGGCCUCUGGUCCAGUGUAAUGACAACCUCAUGAUGCUCACUGCAUCUGGACGAGGAUACACACAUCUACUGGUGGAUAGAGCGGGCGCCUCUCCCAUCUCCCUGUUCCAGCUGCCGCCGUCCUGUGGUUACCAUGUGAAGACUACCUGA